This 497-nucleotide ribosomal RNA is filed under the name uncultured bacterium. RNAcentral's name for it is "partial 16S ribosomal RNA". It matches the Rfam family "Bacterial small subunit ribosomal RNA", at positions 38 to 507 of the family's 1533-position model. The record is from RNAcentral.
GAGGAAAGAGGGAGGAGGGAAGAAGAAAGGAAAGUAGAGUGAACAGACGAGGAGCUUGCUCCUCUGACGUUAGCGGCGGACGGGUGAGUAACACGUGGAUAACCUACCUAUAAGACUGGGAUAACUUCGGGAAACCGGAGCUAAUACCGGAUAACAUGUUGAACCGCAUGGUUCAACAGUGAAAGACGGUCUUGCUGUCACUUAUAGAUGGAUCCGCGCCGCAUUAGCUAGUUGGUAAGGUAACGGCUUACCAAGGCAACGAUGCGUAGCCGACCUGAGAGGGUGAUCGGCCACACUGGAACUGAGACACGGUCCAGACUCCUACGGGAGGCAGCAGUAGGGAAUCUUCCGCAAUGGGCGAAAGCCUGACGGAGCAACGCCGCGUGAGUGAAGAAGGUCUUCGGAUCGUAAAACUCUGUUAUUAGGGAAGAACAAAUGUGUAAGUAACUAUGCACGUCUUGACGGUACCUAAUCAGAAAGCCACGGCUAACUACGUA